Molecule: ribosomal RNA, 492 nt
Filed under: uncultured bacterium
Lineage: Bacteria
Description: partial 16S ribosomal RNA
Rfam family: Bacterial small subunit ribosomal RNA
Source: RNAcentral
AGUGAACGCUGGCGGUAGGCCUAACACAUGCAAGUCGAACGGCAGCACAGUAAGAGCUUGCUCUUACGGGUGGCGAGUGGCGGACGGGUGAGGAAUACAUCGGAAUCUACUUUUUCGUGGGGGAUAACGUAGGGAAACUUACGCUAAUACCGCAUACGACCUACGGGUGAAAGCAGGGGAUCUUCGGACCUUGCGCGAUUGAAUGAGCCGAUGUCGGAUUAGCUAGUUGGCGGGGUACAGGCCCACCAAGGCGACGAUCCGUAGCUGGUCUGAGAGGAUGAUUAGCCACACUGGAACUGAGACACGGUCCAGACUCCUACGGGAGGCAGCAGUGGGGAAUAUUGGACAAUGGGCGCAAGCCUGAUCCAGCCAUACCGCGUGGGUGAAGAAGGCCUUCGGGUUGUAAAGCCCUUUUGUUGGGAAAGAAAAGCAGCAGGUUAAUACCCCGCUGUUCUGACGGUACCCAAAGAAUAAGCACCGGCUAACUUCGUG